CUGGUUGAUAACAGCUGCACUGGCAUAUUGUAAACAAUAACGCAACUCAUUUAAAAAGUCGACAUCUGAGGUAAAUUGCCCGUACCACGAUAUUACAAACGACUCCAAAAUUUUAUUAUAAAACUUUUCAAUCACACAAUUGAGUUCUUUGGGAAUGUACAAAUCCUUCCACGGCGCUACAGCUUUAUUCUGCUGGUGCCUCUUACACGAUAAAUCGUCACAAAUGCUGCAUGACUGCUUCAGUUUCUUUCUAGACGAAUGACUCCCAUAACAAAAACUGACCAAACCCGAAAGAUAAGCAGAAGCUACGAUCUGGUAUUUUAAAAAACACCAAGACACCAAACAUCCUAAUAUGUAGCCUCCGUAAAUAAUAACACCGGCUAAGGAACUAAAAAACUUAAGUAAAUAAGUGAAUCAAAACUAUGCAAUUCCAACCUAACAAAUACUGUAACAAACGCUGAGAAUAUCGUUACAGCUAGGGCCGCAAAUCGGCUGUAUUUGUCGUUAGCGAUUAGAGUCACAAUGUUAAAAAUGUCUUUGUGGAUCAUUUUGGGGCCACAACAUAACCUUAUGCUUCGCUGACAGGAGCUGUCAUCGUGACAUGUGAGGUUAAAACAGACACUAAAUCAAUGAAAUCUCUUUUUUUUUCAUUUAUAUUAUGUUAAGAAUGCGCCACCACCACAUUUUUACAAUGGUAUUUAAACCAAAACUUGGCCUAGUUUUAGAAAGAGUCAAUAAAUAUUUCGUUGAUAAUUAUAGUUAUUUUUGAAACGUGCAGAUGGAGUCACAAUUCAAAAUUAUGAAAUUGAGCGUGAAAUAAUGUCGCAAAACCUACAAUUUAAAAAUACCGUGACAAGAGGAUUGGCUUAUGAUUCGCGUCAAAUGUUUAUUUUUACAUUCAUUUCAAAAGUCGAAAUUGUAGGGGGAAUUUUGAGGAAAAGGAAAAAAAGUGCUUCAAAUAGUAUUUAUUUUGUACGUGUUAUAGAUAGAAUACAUAUUUGUUGGUGUCAUUUUAUAUUAAUUGCUAAUUAUGUUGUCAAAAUAUUAUAUUAAGCUUCAUAUCAAUUAAUUGUU
Long non-coding RNA from Tribolium castaneum (red flour beetle), 1074 nucleotides. RefSeq lists it as uncharacterized. The transcript is spliced from 3 exons. NCBI's taxonomy places the organism in Eukaryota, Metazoa, Arthropoda, Insecta, Coleoptera, Tenebrionidae. The record is from RefSeq and is a predicted model, not a curated record.